UGCCUUUGUGUUGCCCAUUCAUUCAUUCCUUCAGUGAAUGUGGUGUCAGAAAAGGCAUACAUUAACUGUAGCUGUCAUGUUGAAGAUCAGGUUAUGUACCUUGUCUGCCUUUCAGCUAGAACAUAA
RNAcentral lists this small nucleolar RNA (126 nucleotides) under Pogona vitticeps (central bearded dragon). Its description in RNAcentral is "Small nucleolar RNA SNORA13 (ENSPVIG00000010945.1)". It matches the Rfam family "Small nucleolar RNA SNORA13". Rfam says of the family: ACA13 is a member of the H/ACA class of snoRNA that guide the sites of modification of uridines to pseudouridines. The record is from Rfam by way of RNAcentral. Lineage: Eukaryota; Metazoa; Chordata; Lepidosauria; Squamata; Agamidae.